GACAGAGGUGCCGAGCGUUAGGCGGAAUCACUGGGCUUAAAGCGUGUGUAGGCGGGUCCGUAAGUACCUUGUGAAAUCCCACGGCUCAACCGUGGAACUGCUCGGUAUACUGCGGGUCUGAGCUGUCUAGGGGCGACCGGAACAAGCGGUGGAGCGGUGAAAUGCGUAGAUAUCAGGAGGAACACCGGUGGCGAAGGCGGUGGUCUGGGCCGGCACUGACGCUGAGGAGCGAAAGCGUGGGUAGCAAACAGG
This 252-nucleotide ribosomal RNA is filed under the name uncultured bacterium. Its description in RNAcentral is "partial 16S ribosomal RNA". It matches the Rfam family "Bacterial small subunit ribosomal RNA", at positions 524 to 776 of the family's 1533-position model. The record is from RNAcentral.